Molecule: ribosomal RNA, 36 nt
Filed under: Fritziana fissilis (split-backed frog)
Lineage: Eukaryota; Metazoa; Chordata; Amphibia; Anura; Hemiphractidae
Description: partial 12S ribosomal RNA
Source: RNAcentral
AACAUGGUAAGUAUACCGGAAGGUGUGCUUGGUAAU